This 208-nucleotide long non-coding RNA is filed under the name Elaeis guineensis (African oil palm). RNAcentral describes it as "long non-coding RNA (EGUI_LNC050064)". The record is from RNAcentral. Lineage: Eukaryota; Viridiplantae; Streptophyta; Magnoliopsida; Arecales; Arecaceae.
CCAAUGUCUAAGUUUCUCUCUAAGCACUGCCCCCAUCUCUCUUUCUCUCUUCUCCAUAAGUUUAAAAAAGGUACUAAUCUGAGCACAACAUCAUAUUCCUCCAUAGAUUCAUUCUCCACAUCCCAAAAGUCUAGGAGAGAUCCUAACCCUAGCACACCUUCCAUCAAAUCUAGGAGAGAUACUAAUCAUAGUACCGCUAUCCUUUGCA